RNAcentral lists this ribosomal RNA (501 nucleotides) under uncultured bacterium. RNAcentral's name for it is "partial 16S ribosomal RNA". It matches the Rfam family "Bacterial small subunit ribosomal RNA", at positions 30 to 523 of the family's 1533-position model. The record is from RNAcentral.
AUUGAACGCUGGCGGCAGGCUUAACACAUGCAAGUCGAGCGGGGGAAGGUAGCUUGCUACUGGACCUAGCGGCGGACGGGUGAGUAAUGCUUAGGAAUCUGCCUAUUAGUGGGGGACAACAUCUCGAAAGGGAUGCUAAUACCGCAUACGUCCUACGGGAGAAAGCAGGGGAUCUUCGGACCUUGCGCUAAUAGAUGAGCCUAAGUCGGAUUAGCUAGUUGGUGGGGUAAAGGCCUACCAAGGCGACGAUCUGUAGCGGGUCUGAGAGGAAGAUCCGCCAAACGGGGACGGAGACACGGCCCAGACUCCUACGGGAGGCAGCAGUUGGGAAUAUUGGACAAUGGGGGGAACCCCGAUCCAGCCAUGCCGCGUGUGUGAAGAAGGCCUUAUGGUUGUAAAGCACUUUAAGCGAGGAGGAGGCUACUUUAGUUAAUACCUAGAGAUAGUGGACGUUACUCGCAGAAUAAGCACCGGCUAACUCUGUGCCAGCCGCCGCCGUAA